RNAcentral lists this ribosomal RNA (79 nucleotides) under Paracoccus sp. J56. Its description in RNAcentral is "16S rRNA. Bacterial SSU". Lineage: Bacteria; Pseudomonadati; Pseudomonadota; Alphaproteobacteria; Rhodobacterales; Paracoccaceae. The record is from RNAcentral.
CUGGCUCAGAACGAACGCUGGCGGCAGGCCUAACACAUGCAAGUCGAGCGAGGACUUCGGUCCUAGCGGCGGACGGGUG